This 207-nucleotide ribosomal RNA is filed under the name uncultured bacterium. Its description in RNAcentral is "partial 16S ribosomal RNA". It matches the Rfam family "Bacterial small subunit ribosomal RNA", at positions 568 to 774 of the family's 1533-position model. The record is from RNAcentral.
CUCGUAGGCGGUUUGUCGCGUCGGGAGUGAAAACCUCGGGCUUAACUCGGGGCUUGCUUUCGAUACGGGCAGACUGGAGGUAUGCAGGGGAGAACGGAAUUCCUGGUGUAGCGGUGAAAUGCGCAGAUAUCAGGAGGAACACCGGUGGCGAAGGCGGUUCUCUGGGCAUGACCUGACGCUGAGGAGCGAAAGUGUGGGGAGCGAACA